UACAGAGAGUGCAAACGUUGUUCGGAAUUACUGGGCUUAAAGCGCACGUAGGCGGCAUCGUAAGUGUGGGGUGAAAUCCCACGGCUCACCCGUGGAACUGCCUGGCAGACUGCGAUGCUCGAGUGUGGUAGGGGAGAGCGGAACUCCUGGUGGAGCGGUGAAAUGCGUAGAUAUCAGGAGGAACACCGGUGGCGAAGGCGGCUCUCUGGUCCACAACUGACGCUGAGGUGCGAAAGCUAGGGGAGCAAACGGG
This 253-nucleotide unclassified non-coding RNA is filed under the name uncultured Planctomycetota bacterium. RNAcentral's name for it is "uncultured planctomycete contains 16S-23S intergenic spacer region". It matches the Rfam family "Bacterial small subunit ribosomal RNA", at positions 524 to 776 of the family's 1533-position model. The record is from RNAcentral. Lineage: Bacteria; Pseudomonadati; Planctomycetota.